UAGGGAAUCUUCGGCAAUGGACGGAAGUCUGACCGAGCAACGCCGCGUGAGUGAAGAAGGUUUUCGGAUCGUAAAGCUCUGUUGUUAGAGAAGAACGUUGGUAGGAGUGGAAAAUCUACCAAGUGACGGUAACUAACCAGAAAGGGACGGCUAACUACGUGCCAGCAGCCGCGGUAAUACGUAGGUCCCGAGCGUUGUCCGGAUUUAUUGGGCGCAAAGCGAGCGCAGGCGGUUCUUUAAGUCUGAAGUUAAAGGCAGUGGCUUAACCAUUGUACGCUUUGGAAACUGGAGGACUUGAGUGCAGAAGGGGAGAGUGGAAUUCCAUGUGUAGCGGUGACAUGCGUAGAUAUAUGGAGGAACACCGGUGGCGAAACCGGCUCUCUGGUCUGUAACUGACGCUGUGGCUCGAAAGCGUGGGGAGCAAACAGG
This 429-nucleotide ribosomal RNA is filed under the name Bacillota bacterium. RNAcentral describes it as "Firmicutes bacterium partial 16S ribosomal RNA". It matches the Rfam family "Bacterial small subunit ribosomal RNA", at positions 355 to 776 of the family's 1533-position model. Lineage: Bacteria; Bacillati; Bacillota. The record is from RNAcentral.